This 229-nucleotide ribosomal RNA is filed under the name uncultured bacterium. Its description in RNAcentral is "partial 16S ribosomal RNA". It matches the Rfam family "Bacterial small subunit ribosomal RNA", at positions 568 to 796 of the family's 1533-position model. The record is from RNAcentral.
AGUGUAGGCGGCUACUUAAGUCGGAUGUGAAAGCCCCGGGCUCAACCUGGGAAUUGCAUUCGAAACUGGGUAGCUAGAGUUUGGUAGAGGUAAGUGGAAUUCCGGGUGUAGCGGUGAAAUGCGUAGAUAUCCGGAGGAACAUCAGUGGCGAAGGCGGCUUACUGGACCAAAACUGACGCUGAGGCUCGAAAGCGUGGGGAGCAAACAGGAUUAGAUACCCUGGUAGUCC